Molecule: transfer RNA, 72 nt
Organism: Camelus ferus (Wild Bactrian camel)
Lineage: Eukaryota; Metazoa; Chordata; Mammalia; Artiodactyla; Camelidae
Rfam family: tRNA
About the family: Transfer RNA (tRNA) molecules are approximately 80 nucleotides in length. Their secondary structure includes four short double-helical elements and three loops (D, anti-codon, and T loops).
Source: Rfam
AGGGGUACAGCUCAGUGGUCGAGCACACACUUGGCACGCAUGAGGUCCUGGGUUCAGUCCCCAGUACCUCCG